ACCCCUCGGCUGAUGUGCAGCACUUCCUCCUGUUCAUCAGCCAGCUUCAAAGGUGACUGGGACACAUUCCUUCAGCUUUCACAUCUCUAUGAAGCGCUGUCUGCGUAAGAAGUGACUUGAUCAGAUGAGAUUAAAGGAAAUGAACUGAUAACGUCUUAAAACUCCACGUUUGAACACUAUCCUUCAGCUGUAACUGACUUUGCUGUGAACUAGUGCUAAACGUCCACGUUGCUCCUGUUAUGGCUGCUUGAGGGUGUGUCCUCCCACACAGCUCCACACGCUCUGCGCUCCACCUCAUGCCUGCGACUGAAGGAGCACGUGAGCCUCAAAUGCCAUUUCUGUCUGAACACUGCAGCAGGCUAAUAUUUUGCAUGAAUGUGUUUUGUUGUGGACCAAAUUUAUGGAGCUGAAUGUUUGUGAUCGAGGAGAAUGAUGCUGCCACAGCUGAUUCUGACAGUGUGAAGGUUUCCCAGCUUUCAGACUCUGAGCAGGAUCAGGGGACGAGUCCGCCACAAAUGGAACGUCAGCUGUCAGACAACUCUGCUUCUUCAGUGGGUCCGUCCUGUGGAGACACUCGCUGCAGCGGCCGUGGAAGCUGUGUGCUUCCUGCAGAUGGGGGCGAUGGCCUGCGCUGUGACUGUAAGCUGGGUUACCACGGCAGCUCCUGCGAGCAGACCAUCAACGGGUCGCUGAGCUUAACGCUGACGCUCAGCAUCCUCGGCAUCAUACUCUUCCUGCUGAUCCUCGCGUUUGUCCUGGCCAAGUUACGCCGGAGGAAGAAGAAGGAGAACUGGAAAAAUGAAAAGUCACAAAAUAAUGAAAUGCAACUGAAAUCCUACAUCUGAGAUCAGCCCUGCCUUCACUCUCACACCUAAUGGAUGUGCACCUCAGAGACCUUAGCAUAAUCUUUGUAACACUGAUGCUUUAAAAGGCUUUGAUAUGGUGCCUACAAGGAAAACGUGACACUUUUCCAAUGUUAUUCUUUUCAUGAACCACAUACAACUAAAAAUCAAGUAAAGUAACAAUAAUAAUAUUACCAAACAUAUAGAUAUACUGCUGUGUUGCUGAUCUAUACCCUGACUGACUUAAAGACCGUUACUCUUUUUAUGUAUAUAAUAUAUAUAUAUAUAUAAUACUUUGUGUAGUUUAUAAUGUUAGCUUGUUUACAUUUACACAAAGUCUUUCAAGUGUGGACUUUGCACCUGGAUGCUCUCAUUCUACCUGUGAUGCAAUAGAAUCAAAGUCAGGGGCAGUAAACGCUACCGCUCUGAGCUUAUGUCGGGAGUCAGCUUCAACUUGAGCAAUAGAACUGAAUGGACACACUGAAACUAAGAUGUGCACAAACACACCUUCGCACAUCCUGUUCAUCAUCAUUUUCAAAUUCCUGUCAUGUGGAAAAUAUUUGGCACAUUACGGCAUAGGCCAGAAUGUUCACAAACAGCACCUGACUCUGCUUUGUCCUCCAUGAUGAGUGGGUCUGUGUGCUGUUUACAAUAAUUCUGCUUGGUAAAUAUGACAACAAUACUUCUGUGCUUUGUGUUGUCAAUAUUUCUAAUAAAAUAUACAAACCCCCAACA
Betta splendens (Siamese fighting fish) is the source of this 1577-nucleotide long non-coding RNA. The record is from Ensembl. Lineage: Eukaryota; Metazoa; Chordata; Actinopteri; Anabantiformes; Osphronemidae.